GUAGGGUGCAAGCGUUAAUCGGAAUUACUGGGCGUAAAGCGUGCGCAGGCGGAUGCAUAAGUCAGACGUGAAAGCCCCGGGCUUAACCUGGGAACGGCGCUUGAAACUGUGCGUCUAGAGUGCGUCAGAGGGGGGUGGAAUUCCACGUGUAGCAGUGAAAUGCGUAGAGAUGUGGAGGAACACCGAUGGCGAAGGCAGCCCCCUGGGAUGACACUGACGCUCAUGCACGAAAGCGUGGGGAGCAAACAGGAUUAGAUACCCUGGUAGUCCACGCCCUAAACGAUGUCAACUGGUUGUUGGGGAUUUCGGUCCUUAGUAACGAAGUAACGCGUGAAGUUGACCGCCUGGGGAGUACGGCCGCAAGGUUA
This 368-nucleotide ribosomal RNA is filed under the name uncultured Chromobacterium sp. RNAcentral describes it as "bacterial SSU rRNA". It matches the Rfam family "Bacterial small subunit ribosomal RNA", at positions 527 to 896 of the family's 1533-position model. Lineage: Bacteria; Pseudomonadati; Pseudomonadota; Betaproteobacteria; Neisseriales; Chromobacteriaceae. The record is from RNAcentral.